Molecule: small nuclear RNA, 107 nt
Filed under: Colobus angolensis palliatus
Lineage: Eukaryota; Metazoa; Chordata; Mammalia; Primates; Cercopithecidae
Source: RNAcentral
GUGCUUGCUUCAGCAGCACAUAUACGAAAAUUGGAAUGAUAUAGAGAAAAUAAGCAUGGCCCCUGCACAGGGAUGACAUACAAAUUUGUGAAGCAUUCCAUAUUUUU